AUUGCGAUCUUAACGAGGCUCGUUAAAGCUAAAGAAGAUAUGUAGACUGGAGAUGCUUAGCAGAGACGGGAAGGGAGGGCGGGAGGCUGAGAGAGCUUUAAAAGGGUGACAAAUGGACAACCAAUGACUGCAACUCCGGAAUACACGUUUUGAAUAGAAGCGAGUCAAUUUGCACAUUAUUUUCGUACAGUUUUUCCUGUAGUAGCUACUUUUUAAAAAAUCCUUUUUAUCGAGGGGAAGGAAAGCGUUAGGGUCUUCUACGUGUUUCCUUUUGAUAUAUGUUAUCACUUUCCAUUUUCUUGUGUUCUAAAAGAUCAAAUUAUGACACAAUCCUAUAAUCUUUCGGCUUUUUCCCUGGAUCCGUCGAUGAUUUUAUAAAUGUUUUAAUUUUAUGACAGGGUCUGAGCAUGACUUUACUCGGACUCGCUGGUGUGUGUGGUCACUUUCUGUGUGUGGGUGCUGGUCCGAGUGCAGACUGCAGUGUGAUGCCGCUCCCCCUCCUGCUGUCCCCGGCCUUGCCUCCGGGACGCUGGGCGCAUCUCUGGCCCCCUGCCCGCUGCCUCCUCUCCAACCAACACAAUUUAUUGUUCCAAAUGAAUAUCGAUGCACAGCGUUGUGUUGAUUAAACAAAGGUCAUGGCGUUUAGUUCGAAAAGUAAUUUACCAAUGGCAUCGCCCUUUUAAUGCCACCAGUUUAUCACGGGUUUUUGUCAUAGUCCAGCCCUGUAAUUAAUACCAUUAGUAUUGGAAUUACAAUUAAAUGGCAACAUCAAAGCUUGUUGUGGACAUAAAAGCAGUUUUCAUGUAUUUGAUCUAGUGGUAAGGACAUGAUCAAUGUCCACAUCCAGUCACAGGAUUCGGCUUACAGCAGUAGCCACGGCGGUGUGAUUUUCAUGUUUAUGGCUAAAACGGCUUCAUAUUUAGACAGGGCUUAUAGGGUGUUAAAAUAGUGUGAGUUCACUCUAACACGAACAGUGCUCACAUUGUGAAAGGGCCGUGUACAAGGCGUAGCAUCUAGACUCUGCUUAAUCCGCCCUCAAUAAAGCUGACAUAAUGAUCCUAAGCCGCCUUUCUACAAAAUCAUUCAGGAAUUCAAAACUUUUCCUUCCCUCUCUCAGAUUUGCACAUUCUCCGGGGCUGGCCAGAUAGACCACCGACUUCAAGCUCAGGGGGACAGUGAGUAGACAUGCAUGUAUAGUCAGUGCUACCUGUUUAUGUCCACCAUUUCACCUGAACUGACAUACUUUAAUAACUGCGGGUGAGAGUGUGCAAUUACGCACGUUUGCGCACUUUUACGCAUCGGUUUUUUGGGCAAAAGGGAGUACUGCAUGUACGUAGACCUACGUGCAUGUUGUGCAAGUGUCUGUAUGUGCCUGUAAUACAGAGCAGGGGUUGUGAUGAUCUUGUUGCAGGGUCAGGCGUUUGGUUUGUGUGUUUCCUUUGGGGUUGUGCGCGUGCGCGUGUGUGAGGGGGUAGGGUAGUAGCUAUAUGGGAUCAAACCUGUCCACUGCGCCGCUAUACGAACCUCAGUAGAACUAAUUCCAAGUGGCACUUGAACUGGUCCCGUUGGAAAGCUCUGUGGACUGGAAGUAAAGGCUGGUAUUUUCGUGUGCCCCCCGCACCCCCCGUCUCACACACACACAUACACACACACACACACAUGCACACACCACCCCAAAAUUAUGUUGAGAAUGCAGGCUUAGCAGCACUCCUCCGAAUAUGCAAAGCCUCCUAUACCUGCCUGGGUUCCUGGUGCACCAAUUUAGGUGAUCACCAUUCAAGCCAAGGCUGCAGGUAUUAUCCAGCAUUAUGUUCUGGAGGAGCCUUGUUUGGGAGUAGCCCUCGCAGGCAAUUCGGAAAUCACUCCUAGAAGAGACUAGAGGUGAAAUGUAAAACCUGAAUGGGGAUUGAGGGGGAAAAGCCACUGGUAAUUCACAUUCUUUUACAUGGCUUUUGUUUACGUUAAGCAUGUAAUUAACACCCCCCAAACAAGUUUAUUCACCUGCCCUAAUUGUGUGUUUAUCCGAGGGCUUGCUGAAUGUUCCGAGCAGCGGGGGACGAGAGCUCUGAAUGCACAUCGAGCAUUUAGCGUCUUCUCCGUUUACUUUCAGCCUAAACCUCCAGACACCACAACACAAACAGCAUUUUGCACGCUAAAACACUGAUAAUAUGUUGGUCAAGCAGACAGAGACGCCUGUCGUCUGCUUUGCACCGACACCUCACCUCCUGUGAUCACAUUUCUGUUGAUUGAUUGUAAAGCCCUUUGACAAACUUUGUUUAGAAAACUUUUAUAUAAAUAAAUCUAGUUUUAGCCGUUAAAGAAAUGCUACUAUUCUUUGUCUCCAACAGUUCUUACAGCACGCAAUGGAUCUAAAAUGUUAGUUACUAUACUGGUUAAUUGCCAAUUAGUAAGUUAUUAUCAGUCUGUUCCAAUAAGAGCAGCAAAUAAACAAAGCUGGUGCUACGUCAUGUACGUGAGUGAGAGAGAGAGAAGGGAACCGGAUGACAGAAAGACAGAAAAAGGUGUUGACUGUAAAAGGUAAGAGGGAAAGAGAAAGAAGGCACGAAAGAAAGGGUCUUGUUUUAUUUUUUUGCUCCCUCGUUGACCCCGGUUUGGCAGAGGCUGGCCAGAAAAGGCAGCACACCCCUCCCUGGCAAACACAGGAGAGACUCAUGUGUCUGCUGCUCCAUCCCGGAUUCAUCUCAACAAUACACAGGACGAGACUGUGGAGCAAUGACGGAGCUGCGAACAGGGUCCAGUUCACGGACUGUCACCAUUCGAGCAUGGGACUGGACGUGACACUGGUUCACUGCUAUUUCACAGGUCAAUUUGUCCGAGAUCAGGAUGGAAAUCCAACCGCUGCUCCUGGGGACUUCCUGGCAGGGCUGGGAGCUUGUAUCGGAGCUGUCCAAUCAGUGUAUUUACACGGGUUGUUAGCGACAGUUAAUGAGGGCUCCUCCCCGGGCCGGUAGAGAAAGGCGCCUCAACAUUAAGAUUUACCUUGUGUCAACUCGUUACUUCUAAUGAACCUCCAUGCAAAAGCCUCCUCGUACUCAAUGGAGCCGUGCGCCCGGAUCUUGUGUGUGAGACCCUGGAAGAGUGGAGCUGCAAGCCGGCCUCCCUCUCCCGCUUUUCUUCCGCUCACUCAGGGAGAGUUGCUUUUUCUCUGCAGGUCUGCGCUCCAUGAUGCAUGCAUGCAUGCCUGUGUGUGUGUGUGUGUGUGUGUGUGUGUGUGUGUGUGUGUGAACGUGUGUAUUGAAUGAAGGUGGGUGGUGCAUAUAUAUAUAUAUAGCCUAGCCUAUCUUAAUAAGAAUGUGACGUUGGCAACCCAGGCAUCACUUAUGAUUAAUAAUGACACAAUAACACAUGGUUAUAAUGCGCUGUAAAUAAACACAUUGUAGCCUACAGACUAUAAAGUCAAAUGUGUUGAAAUUGACAACGUUUUUAAAGACUGGUGUCUAAUUAUCACUAAAAGUGUGAUCAGAGACAGGACAGAGGAGAAAGAGAAGGAGGGUGUUUGUGUUUGCGUGCCCGUAUCACAAACCUGAAAUGUCUUCUUUUGUUUGGUGAAUGAGGCUUGACAUGUCAGCUUAUUGCCUCUGCAGAAGUAAGUUCAUGUAUAAUCACCCUCCAUACCCCACUAGAGCACCGAGCUCAGCUCGGGCCCUGGCCCCUCCGUCCACCCCUCGUCUGGCCCCUAGUGUGGCUUGUUGAGCCGCAUCAGCAACACAUCACUGCCCUUCAAUUCAGGUACAAACUGGAGGAGUUUGGCGGAUCCCUGAAGUGGACUCCCCUCUUACUCUUCUAACCCUCAGAGACACCACUUAAAAAUCAAUUAGGCUCGUCUAGUUUCUCCCUCCCCGCCAAUCAUCAUCUCCGAAACAGGUGGCUCCACCAAAUUUUGGGAGGGAUUUAAAAGUAAAAAUCUAACUUAGAUUCAUUAUUUAAUUUGAACUUCGGUCCAGUUAUGAGUGAGUGGGUGCGCCCGCAUGCACUUUAUAGCCCUUCUGAAUUUAUUCCACUUUCUCUCUGCCUUCAUGAGGUCAUUUCCAUAUUUUUAGUAGCCUAUUAUUUUGACGCAAAAUAAAAGCAGAAUAGGCUACGCUUAGUUGUGAUUUGGGAAAUGAAACGUCAUCUCUAUUUUUUUAUUUUGUAGCCCUUGUAUUUUACUGUCUCUUGAACUGUCAGGGCCUUUAAGAGUGGUAUGCUUACAAACUGUUCUACAUCCACCAGCAGCCAGCAGGUGACAAAGUGGCCACAACGACAUAUAUUCACGGUUGCAGCGAAAAGCAGUUUGAGUUUCAUAUCCUUGAUAUAUGUAUAAAUAGGCCUUUAUAAUAAUUUUAUCACUCAUACAGCCUCUUUCUUCACGCCGGUAACUCCGUAUCAAACGCGCAUUUCCCCAUGACGUCUCUUUCAUCAUCAGUUUAACCGCACAGCCGCCUGCUCCCCGUGUUAAAGAGCUACAGCAAUAUGACACGUAGCAGCGGCGCUGGAGGAGGCCGUGUGUUCACUCUUCCAGGUAGAUGGGUUGAUUUGGAGACAGAGGCAGAGAGGGAGAAAUAAAUAUAAUGGGUGCAUAUCAGAUGCAAUGCCCCAAGCUUUACAUAUGAUGCUCACCUUCCAUUCCCCAAAGACUUUUUUGAAGAGCAAAACAAGACCUCCGGUUUAUUUCAGCUUCCAACCCUUGAAGAUUUACUGUGUGUCAGUCAUUCAUCUGCAUGUGUGGGCCUGAAAGUGCACUCGGGACUCCAGAGAGCUAACACGAUGGCCAGAGUUACAUCAGCACAAAUGUUGACAGAAUUUCUCCAUGAAAAUAUGACUGUUUUGGACUUGACUGUCAAGGCUGAUUAAGCGCCUCGGUCCUUAGAUGCAGAUAGGAGCUAGGGAGAUGGCCCUUAAGCCCGGUGUCACAGGAGCUGACAAGCCGUAAUUACUCUGGCUGACAUAUCGCUCUCAAAGCUUACUAAUGUGGGAGAUGUGGAUACCACAGACAGCAUGUAUACAGGCGAGGCCGCUCAACUCUUUGGCCACGCAGUCCCUUUUAACCCGGGUUCAGAUGCUGCUGGGCUGGCCACAUGCUCCACAGCUGACCUUUUCCAUUUUAACAUUUCAGUAGUGGAAUAACCUCUUAUUUAUAAGCUAGUGAUAUUGCAGAGGAGAUGAUAAGGCUGUGUGUGAAUGAAAACAGCACACUGCAACACACAGACAUAAGACACACAAAACAGUAAAUCAGUGGUGGAAAGUAACUAAGUAGCCUGCAUUUACUCAAGUACUCCUACUUAAAAAUGUAGAUACUUGUACUUGUACUCUACUACAUUUAUUUAUCAUCUUACUACUUUACAGAUUAAUAUUUGACAUACAAAUAUAUGAUAAUUUUAUAAUAUUACAGGUAUGCCCAUAUAAAGUUGUAAUAUUAGUUUCACCUUGACCAACUACAUUAAAAAAGCUCCUUCUGUACUUUACUUAAGUACAACUUUGAAUGCAAGACUUUUACUUGUAAUGGAGUAUUUUUACAUUGUGGCAUAGCUGCUUUUAAUUCAAUUCAACUCAGUUUUAUUUAUAUAGUGCCAAUUCAUAACAGAAGUUAUCUCAUAGUUACUUAAGUAAAUUGUCUGAAUACUUCUUCCAGUAGGCUCAAUAGGCCUAUAUUUUAAAAUUGUAAAGAUACUAUAAGAGAUCAAAUGUUCUAAAGUAAGCUGCUGUUAGGAAGUACAUUCACUAAAGUACUGCACUUCUGUACAAAUUUAAGGGGCUUGUACUUGAGUAUUUCCAUUUUAUGCUACUUCAUUCUUCGUCCCCAAUACAUUUCAGAAGGAAAUAUUGUACUUUUCACUCCACUACAUAUAAUUGACAGGUUUAGUUACUAGUUACUUUGCAGGUUCAGAUACAAAAUGUUUAACAUAUAAAAUAUUAUGCAAUUUUAUAGAUUAAACUGCCCAACAGCAUAAAAACUAGUUAAAAAUAUUCCCACUUUGACCAGCAAAAACAUAAAGUUCUGCUUACAUGUUAAUGCAUCAACAUAAUAACAUUCUAAUAAUAUAAUAUGGGACCUAUAUAAUGAUUUAACACUCAUUUGUGAUACUUUAAGUAAGCUACAUUUAUCUGAUAAUACUUCUGUUCACAGUCAAAUUCUGUAUACCAAACGUUUACUCUUAACAGAGUAUUUUUACCUUGUGACAUUAUUAUCUUUACUUAAGUAAAGGAUCCAAGUACCACCACUACACUCAGUGUUUCAGCACAUUAUUGAACUAAAAACGUAGACUAGUUGCUGCAAUCAGGAAGUGUUUACACGUGCAGUGGCUGCUUGUCACAAUCAUUUAACUCACAACAUACACAAUCUCUAUGUCUCUCAGCGGGUAAAUGCUUUCAUUAAAGCCUUAUUUUGUAAUCGACUAAUGUGAGUGAUCUAUAGAUCUAUAUCGAGUAAGUGUGCCUCUCUCUCUCUCUGUCUCUCUCUCGCUCUCUCUCUCUCUCUCUCUCUCUCUCUCUCUCUCUCUCUCUCGUGUGUGUGUGUGUGUGUGUGUGUGAAGGUUACAGUCACCAUGUCACCCACGAUCCUGUCAUUGUCUCACAUUUGUUGGUUGCGGUGUUUGCAUUGCACGCAAUGGACGAAACCGACGUCACAGUCGCUCGCUCUCUCAAUUCAAUCGGGCUUUAUUGGCAAGAGAAACAGACGUUAACAUUGUCAAAGCAUGUGUGAAAUAAAAUAAAACCAUAUACAUAAACAGAAGUCUCUCUCUUUCUCUCUCUUCCCCUCUCCCUCUCUCUCCCUCUCUCUCCCCCCCUCCUUCCCUCCCCUCUUUGACUGCAGCUUUUGACAUUACUCCACUCGAUUGCCCGUUUACCCGUUUACCCCCAAGUCAAGUUUGAGACAGGCAAGAAGUGUAAAAGAGGUGGGCCAUGUCAUAUCCGCUCAGUGUGCAUGGGAUUGUUGGCCUGCUCGGCUGUGAUCAUUGUUCAGGAGAACAAUUACUGCACAGGCAGGAAGGCAGCAUAUCAGAAAAAGUGGAAGAAUAGUUGCAAACAGAGGCUGGUUGGACAAUUUGCACAUAGUUUUUCACUGCAGCAGUUUCAAUAUGGGUUUAUCAUGUACUGUAGUUAUUGUUGCAAGUUGAAGUUGUAGGCUAUUUGUUUUUAGCUAUAGAUCGAUGUAGGCUAUUAUACAUUUUUGCACUUUUUUAUUAUUAUUAUUGGGCUUGUCUGUUGCUUUCUUCCAUUAAAACUAUUUACUUUGCUGUACUUUGAAGACAUUUUGUCAAAUUAAUUAAGAGUAACUGUACCCUAGCCUACCACCUGGACACCACUUCAAGGGAUAUUAUUAUUAAUGGGAUAUAUCCACCUUAAUAGGCUACAAACACACUCCCGGGUGUCUGUGAAAGUUAAUUUAAAUGACCACGAGAACCCUUAAACUGCGAAAAGUCCCAGAACAUCAGUCUUAAACUUGAUGUUAUUUCUAAUACUUUAAGAUGCCCUAGAUGACUCUUUUAUAGGCUACAGAUCUCUGAUUCUGACGUAGAAAAUCCAAAUCCUGUAGAAAUAUUUAGAAAAUAUGUUGGAUGUAUAUAUAUUUACAUAUUUAUGUUUAUGUAGCCUAUACUUAGUUAAGUUUGUAAUGACUUUUCUUUGUUUAUUUCGUCCCAAAAAUAUGCCUUUAGGGUUGGUUUGCUGCUAGGAUAUUUCAGGCUAGGUCCAGGUUCAUCCCUGGACCAAAGUCCUUCUUAUUAAACCUGCGAGACACUGGGAUGGCGCAUAGUCUAAAACACACAGGCUACAUUUGUUUUCGCACACAGGGCUGUUUAUCGCCCGUCCACUCAGUCCUAGUCUGUAAUGCAGUUCAGCCACUGGAGAAAGUGCUACUGAUUAUUUAACAGCUACAGUAAGCGGCGUUGUUGGGCUAUCACCUGCAGUGUGCUCACGUGGAUUGUUUUCAAAACACUCGCAAGAAUAGGCUAUCAAAAAGAAAUAACAUCACUGUUUUGAUUUUUGAUAGAGUAUUUGGCUAAUUGUUUUCUUUAACAACAAAAAAAUCUCGAAUAGUAGCUAGCCUAGGUGGAAUGGUUGCUAGGCAACAGAUUGGUGUCAGUGUUGUGGUGGUUUAUGGCGCACUUAUGUUUACGCAAUCUCUUUUUAUAGAAAACGUCACAGCGGCGAUGACUCAGCAGCCGAUGAGAGGUGAUGACCGGAACUAACCGUCCUAUAACUGGAUAUUAGCUUACAGGAUAAUAACGGAGGGUUGCGGCGGCCGAGGAGCCGGUUACUCACGGGUGAGCAGCGCCCGUCCAGUCUGAUUUAUGUCACACAUCUCCGUUUGGCUCGCCAAUCCCUCGAUCAAUAGCGGACGUCUGGGAGAGCAGGGGGUGGGGGGUGGUGCAACAGGUCAACAGCAGUUUGACCCAUGCAGCAGCUCAGCACUAAAUUAAGUGCUACAUAGAAAUGAUGCUGACAAGCAGUAGUUAAUAAUGAAAAGAACAAUCAGCAGCAAGGACAGGCCAAUAGACUAUAUUCAUUAUAUUAUUGGUUCUUAUAGGCUUAUAGAUUUUGGGGGGAUAAUAAUGUUGCGAAAUAAUAAUAACAGCAAUAACAUUUUUCAGUCAUGUAUUCAUUCAUUAUUAUUAUAUCGUUAUUAUUAGCGUCUUUAAAGCUCCAUUUAAAAUCACAAAGCCCUGAAACCACGGGAUUUUGAUUUUGCAGCCCAUCCUCUGAGAUUCCAACAGCUUUCAUUAAUCACUACGGAUACUUGUUAAAUCAAAAUGUGGAAAUAACUGAAGUCUUAAAAAGUGUACCCUAAAGGGACAGAAAUAUUUAUUUAUAAAUGUUUAUGAUGAGCACUUUAUUUGGGGAAAAUAGGCUACCCCUUCGUUAAUUAACUAAAGCUGUCAUUUAUAUUUGAUCCACGCCAUAGUCUAAAAAGAGAAAAAGAUGGUCUUCAAUUAAAUUGUAGUCUGUCUGUCUUUGUCGAACGAGACUGAUAAAUGCUACAGUGCUGAUUGGCUUACAGUAUCAGUAGUUUGUAUCAACUUAGAUACGCUCACUAUGCACACCCUCUCCCUGCUAUUGAAACCAUAAUGUUUUCAUACGCAUGGGGCUCAUACACACACUGCUGAAACCAUUGAAGCCUGCAUGUAACCUGCCAUGUCCACACACCUACACACGCAAAUACAAAAAAAGUGAUGCUCAGACCACCCAUAGAAAGUCACCAUAUAAGUAUUGUAAUAAUUUAAAAGUACUAAAACAAACUAUACACAUUAUAGUCUUGACCUAUAUCCGUCCUGCUAUAUGACACAUUGAGAUAUUUCAGCUUUAUUAUUGUAAAUGCUCAUUCAUUAUUCAGCUCCUAUUUAUUAGCUUUGGAUGGCAGAUGUCAGAGCGCGAUCGAGAUGUUUAUGUUUGACUGACUUAAGGAGCCAUUAUCCAGCCCGCUUAUCAAACAUUCAUGUGUGGCAGCUGUAGUUGUGGCUCUGCCCUCCAUCGUGUCUCCUGUGGCCGAUUCAUUUCUCUUCUUAAGCAACCACGACCUUUCCACUCAGUUAACCUCUUAUCUUUUAACAUUUAAGAGACAGCUUAGCCACAUCAGAG
Molecule: RNA transcript, 9579 nt
Organism: Siniperca chuatsi (mandarin fish)
Lineage: Eukaryota; Metazoa; Chordata; Actinopteri; Centrarchiformes; Sinipercidae
Exons: 3
Source: RefSeq, a predicted model, not a curated record